UUUUCCGGUCGGCGUGGUCUUGCGAGUGGAGUGUCCGCUGUGCCAGGGCCUUCACCAUGAGCGUCCCGGCCUUCAUCGACAUCAGUGAGGAAGAUCAGGCUGCUGAGCUUCGUGCUUAUCUGAAAUCUAAAGGAGCUGAGAUUUCAGAAGAGAACUCGGAAGGUGGACUUCAUAUUGAUUUAGCUCAAAUUAUUGAAGCCUGUGAUGUGUGUCUGAAGGAGGAUGAUAAAGAUGUUGAAAGCGUGAUGAACAGUGUGGUAUCCCUACUCUUGAUCCUGGAACCAGACAAGCAAGAAGCUUUGAUUGAAAGUCUAUGUGAAAAGCUGGUCAAAUUUCGCGAAGGUGAACGCCCAUCUCUGAGACUUCAGUUGUAAGUUAAGAUCUGAAAGAAACUCAGUUUUUCAAGGUGCUUUUUUCAUGUUACUAACUUUUAAUGGUGCAGAGCAGGAAUUGUGGAACUUGACUCUCAGCUGUGGCUCUUAUUAGCUGUGACCUUGGGCAAGUGGCUUGACCUUUCUGUGCCCUAGUUUCCUCCUUUGUAAUAUGAAGUUGUUAACGGUACCUG
RNAcentral lists this small RNA (565 nucleotides) under Pongo abelii (Sumatran orangutan). Its description in RNAcentral is "retained intron". Lineage: Eukaryota; Metazoa; Chordata; Mammalia; Primates; Hominidae. The record is from RNAcentral.